GGAUUUGAUUUAGGAUUAGGAUUUGAUUUAGGAUUUAGGAUUUUGUUAGGAUUUGGUUCGGAUUUGAUUUAGGAUUUAGGAUUUGGUUAGGAUUUGAUUUAGGAUUUAGGAUUUGGUUUAGGAUUUAGAGUUUGAUUUAGGAUUUAAGAUUUGAUUAGGAUUUGAUUAAGAUUUGAUUUAGAAUUUAGGAUUUUAUUUGAGUUUGUUUAAGAUUUUAGAUUUAGUUAGUUUUUGGCCUAAAAUUUGAAUGAAGUAAGAUUUCAACUAGGAUCAAAUUAAGAUUGAAUUGAAAUGUAUUUGAGAUAUAUUUGUAAUCAUUCUAAUAUUUCUUUAAGAUUUUGUAUUAUUUCUUUGGAAUUCCUUUGAGGUUUCUCUGAAUUUGAUUAAAGCUUGUUUAGCAUUGUUAGUAUUCUAUUAGAAUUAGGAUUUUGUUAUUGUAAUUUCUAUUCUACCUUCCACAGCCAAGUACCCGGAGCAUUCUCAAGCAAGAC
Molecule: long non-coding RNA, 491 nt
Filed under: Physcomitrium patens
Lineage: Eukaryota; Viridiplantae; Streptophyta; Bryopsida; Funariales; Funariaceae
Description: long non-coding RNA (PPAT_LNC002622)
Source: RNAcentral